UAGAAGAAUUACUGAAUCGGUGUGGUACU
Molecule: small RNA, 29 nt
Filed under: Bombyx mori (domestic silkworm)
Lineage: Eukaryota; Metazoa; Arthropoda; Insecta; Lepidoptera; Bombycidae
Description: ovarian small RNA-21794
Source: RNAcentral